ACUGCACAAGGACCGCUGCUGAUCCGUGCUGUGCGAAGCCAACGGCGCUGUUCCUGCCGCCGUUAGCGCCGUCGGGGUUUCGGCCAUCACCGUCGUUGAGGGAACUCACCGGAGUCGUUGGAGGUUGUCACCGCUCUUUGUGGUUCUGUGUUGAGUUGUGCCGGUAAGCCUUUGCGGCCGGAAAAUGCCCUUGCUGCCGUCGCCGGAAAACUCUGCCGUUAUCGUGAUCAGAAUUCGUCGCCGCUGCCGCUUGAGGUGGCUGCCGGGCUGCCGCCAAACCGGUUCGGAGACUGCCGCUGCUUCGGUUCAGCCGUUCCUUUUUCGGUUCGAGUUAUUGAGAUUAUG
Non-coding RNA from Arachis ipaensis, 345 nucleotides. The record is from RefSeq and is a predicted model, not a curated record. Lineage: Eukaryota; Viridiplantae; Streptophyta; Magnoliopsida; Fabales; Fabaceae.